Molecule: ribosomal RNA, 245 nt
Filed under: uncultured bacterium
Lineage: Bacteria
Description: partial 16S ribosomal RNA
Rfam family: Bacterial small subunit ribosomal RNA
Source: RNAcentral
GACAGAGGGUGCAAACGUUGUUCGGAAUUACUGGGCGUAAAGCGUGUGUAGGCGGCCGCACAGGUCGGAUGUGAAAUCCCCGGGCUCAACUCGGGAAGUGCACCCGAAACUGUGUGGCUUGAGUACCGGAGAGGUUGGUGGAAUUCUCGGUGUAGAGGUGAAAUUCGUAGAUAUCGAGAGGAACACCGGUGGCGAAGGCGGCCAACUGGACGAGUACUGACGCUGAGACACGAAAGCGUGGGGAG